RNAcentral lists this long non-coding RNA (546 nucleotides) under Mytilus galloprovincialis (Mediterranean mussel). The record is from RNAcentral. Lineage: Eukaryota; Metazoa; Mollusca; Bivalvia; Mytilida; Mytilidae.
CCGUGUUAAAAUUUCAAGAAAUCAUGUUCUAUGUUCCUUUUAACCUUUCUACAUCAGCAAUCACUGUUAUUUGUCUUAACUGUGAAAAUGAUGAACAUAUUAUGAACAAUAUUCUUUUGGGAAAACUGAAGAAAAUCUCAAGUGAUUAUUAUACAACAAUAGUAAUAAAGAAAUCAAAAAUAGCAAAUACCAAAAGAGCACAGAAGUAACAUGUUUUAUAAAUGCCUUGUCUUAGUCUACAGCCCAGUAUCUGUGAUCCAUUUUGUGUAUAUAUUGUUUAAAAAAUGUUGUCUCUAUGUUUAUAUACGUUAAAUAAAUUAGACCGUCCAAUUAUUUAUAUUUAGAAUCUAUAAUAUUUAUCUUUAAAUUUGCUUCGUUUUGUUAUCUCCAAGGUGAGAGACAACACUGGUUUUUAUUUUGUCACAAACUAUGAAAAACAACGUUUAGAAGAAGCAUGUGUUAUGAUUUAACAUUUUUAUAUUUAUAUUUUAAAUGUUGGUAUACAAUAUGCUCAAACUGAAAUUACCAAAUAAAGUAUAAAGUUUG